This 253-nucleotide ribosomal RNA is filed under the name uncultured bacterium. RNAcentral describes it as "partial 16S ribosomal RNA". It matches the Rfam family "Bacterial small subunit ribosomal RNA", at positions 524 to 776 of the family's 1533-position model. The record is from RNAcentral.
UACGUAGGGCGCGAGCGUUGUCCGGAAUUAUUGGGCGUAAAGAGCUCGUAGGCGGCCGGUUGCGUCUGCUGUGAAAUCCCGGGGCUUAACCCCGGGCGUGCAGUGGAUACGGGCCGGCUGGAGGCAGGCAGGGGAGAAUGGAAUUCCCGGUGUAGCGGUGAAAUGCGCAGAUAUCGGGAGGAACCCCGGUGGCGAAGGCGGUUCUCUUGGCCUGUACUGACGCUGAGGAGCGAAAGCGUGGGGAGCGAACAGG